This 274-nucleotide ribosomal RNA is filed under the name uncultured bacterium. RNAcentral describes it as "partial 16S ribosomal RNA". It matches the Rfam family "Bacterial small subunit ribosomal RNA", at positions 523 to 796 of the family's 1533-position model. The record is from RNAcentral.
AUACGGAGGGGGCUAGCGUUGUUCGGAAUUACUGGGCGUAAAGCGCAUGUAGGUGGUGCAAUAAGUUAGAGGUGAAAGGCCUGGGCUCAACCUGGGAACUGCCUUUAAUACUAUUGCGCUAGAGUUCGGGAGAGGGUAGCGGAAUUCCAAGUGUAGAGGUGAAAUUCGUAGAUAUUUGGAAGAACACCGGUGGCGAAGGCGGCUACCUGGACCGACACUGACACUGAGAUGCGAAAGCGUGGGGAGCGAACAGGAUUAGAUACCCGGGUAGUCC